AACAUUCCUUCAGCAGAGCCACACUCUUAAAGAUUAUAAAUGUUGUCUUCAAAUAAUUGAAUAUUUGAAGGUUUGCUGGCCAAUGCAGGACUGAUUAUAAGUAAUGAUGACACAUCUGUAACUUCUAAAUGGGAAGGUCUUCGAAUGGGAUUGAAAAGACAAAGUGAUGAAAAAAUAAUUGUGAUAAUACAUACUGUUCCAGGUUUUAAACACAUACAGAGGGAAAAUGAGGUGAAGACACAAGGAAAAGACAACCAUCUAUGAGCCAAGGAGAGAGGCCUUAAAAGAAAUCAACCCUGGCAUCUUGAUCUUGGACUUCAAGCCUCCAGAAUGGAGAGGACCUAGCAAAGCCGGGGUUACACAUCAAAAUGGAACAGAAGAAAGCUUAAUUUCAACUCAAGAAACUGGAGAAUUGGCCAGGCGCAGUGGUUCAUGCCUAUAAUCCCAGCACUUUGGAAGGCCAAGGGCAAAUAAGCAGAUUGAUCUCAGGAACCAGAGGUUGCAUGGAUGGCUGGUCCAAUUGAUCCGCCUGUCCUAAUGGAUCAUUGUGUAACAGGGAGGAAAAACAGGAAACUUGAU
Homo sapiens (human) is the source of this 579-nucleotide long non-coding RNA. Ensembl annotates it as long intergenic non-protein coding RNA 2451. Lineage: Eukaryota; Metazoa; Chordata; Mammalia; Primates; Hominidae. The record is from Ensembl.